RNAcentral lists this ribosomal RNA (467 nucleotides) under Pseudomonas sp. RNAcentral's name for it is "bacterial SSU rRNA". It matches the Rfam family "Bacterial small subunit ribosomal RNA", at positions 104 to 580 of the family's 1533-position model. Lineage: Bacteria; Pseudomonadati; Pseudomonadota; Gammaproteobacteria; Pseudomonadales; Pseudomonadaceae. The record is from RNAcentral.
GGGUGAGUAAUGCCUAGGAAUCUGCCUGGUAGUGGGGGAUAACUCGGGGAAACUCGAGCUAAUACCGCAUACGUCCUACGGGAGAAAGCGGGGGAUCUUCGGACCUCGCGCUACCAGAUGAGCCUAGGUCGGAUUAGCUAGUUGGUGAGGUAAAGGCUCACCAAGGCGACGAUCCGUAGCUGGUCUGAGAGGAUGAUCAGCCACACUGGAACUGAGACACGGUCCAGACUCCUACGGGAGGCAGCAGUGGGGAAUAUUGGACAAUGGGCGAAGCCUGAUCCAGCCAUGCCGCGUGUGUGAAGAAGGUCUUCGGAUUGUAAGCACUUUAAGUUGGGAGGAAGGGCAGUAAGCUAAUACCUUGCUGUUUUGACGUACCGACAGAUAAGCACCGGCUAACUUCGUGCAGCAGCGCGGUAUACGAAGGUGCAGCGUUAUCGAUUACUGGCGUAAAGCGCGCGUAGGUGGUU